This 305-nucleotide ribosomal RNA is filed under the name uncultured bacterium. Its description in RNAcentral is "bacterial SSU rRNA". It matches the Rfam family "Bacterial small subunit ribosomal RNA", at positions 338 to 660 of the family's 1533-position model. The record is from RNAcentral.
CCUACGGGGGGCAGCAGUGGGGAAUAUUGCACAAUGGGGGAAACCCUGAUGCAGCGACGCCGCGUGAGCGAAGAAGUAUUUCGGUAUGUAAAGCUCUAUCAGCAGGGAAGAAAAUGACGGUACCUGACUAAGAAGCCCCGGCUAAAUACGUGCCAGCAGCCGCGGUAAUACGUAUGGGGCAAGCGUUAUCCGGAUUUACUGGGUGUAAAGGGAGCGCAGGCGGCUUGGCAAGUCUGAUGUGAAAGGCAGGGGCCCAACCCCUGGACUGCUCUGGAAACUGUCCGGCUGGAGUGCAGGAGAGGUAA